UAAUAAGUCUUUUUAUCGCUUCACAAAAACCCUAAACCCGAAUCAUCAGAAGCAUUUGGAGAGAUCAAUAAGAGUCAGCCAUGGCUAUUGCUUCUUCGUUCGCUAGAUCAGUUCUUCGAUCAAACACGUUUCGUAGCUCAGCUGCGAAAUUCGCUUCUGAAGCUAAGUCAACUCGUUCUGCAUUUCGUAUCCCGAAACAGAAAUCUAUGAAUAGUCCCAUUUUCAGGUCACCUGUUGAGAUGAGUUGCUGUGUGGAAUCGCUGAUGCCAUAUCAUACUGCUACUGCUUCUGCAUUGUUUACUUCAAUGCUUUCUGUUUCUCACCGCUAUGGUUGGCUUUCUGAAGCUUGCAAUGAUGACGUAUGAUGAAUGCCCAGUGGAUUCGAGCACAGUUUUAUGUACAAAACUCCGUGCAUUAUGGAUAACUUAUAAUUUGUCGGGUGCAAUGCGUUGGUGGUAGUUUGUUGGGUUCCAGUGGACUUGUAAAGCUCGUGCUUAAGGCAUACUUUUUCAUUGGAUGUGAUAACAUAAAGAGAGAAACCAUGUUCUACACAUUUCAUAAUGUGCCAGAAUAGGCUUAUAUAUUCCUUCCUGUGCAAAUUUUUGUUCUCUAAAACCUUCGGCCUGUGAUGGAAUCCUCUUUUUCCUUUUGAGAAGUCAUUUAUUAAUAGUCUACAACUACUGAGCUUGUAUUAGAUCUUGUAGCGAAUAAACUGCAGAAUUUCAUUUCAUUCUGUAUUUUCCUCCUCGAAGGUUCA
Papaver somniferum (opium poppy) is the source of this 757-nucleotide RNA transcript. It is a transcript of the gene named protein NUCLEAR FUSION DEFECTIVE 6, chloroplastic/mitochondrial-like, with no coding region annotated. Lineage: Eukaryota; Viridiplantae; Streptophyta; Magnoliopsida; Ranunculales; Papaveraceae. The transcript is spliced from 4 exons. The record is from RefSeq and is a predicted model, not a curated record.